Molecule: non-coding RNA, 72 nt
Organism: Phrynosoma platyrhinos (Desert horned lizard)
Lineage: Eukaryota; Metazoa; Chordata; Lepidosauria; Squamata; Phrynosomatidae
Source: the annotation of a GenBank genome assembly
GCCAGGGUAGUGUAGUGGUUUGAGCACUGGACUAUGAUUCUGCAGACUCAGGUUCGAAUCCUGGCACGGCCA